Molecule: ribosomal RNA, 761 nt
Filed under: uncultured bacterium
Lineage: Bacteria
Description: bacterial SSU rRNA
Rfam family: Bacterial small subunit ribosomal RNA
Source: RNAcentral
ACUGCCCGAAAGGGUGGCUAAGACCGCAUGAGCUUCAUCUGUCGGAGGGUGGAGGAAAGCCCCGUGAGGGGUGCUAGAGGAGGGGCCCGCGUCCGAUUAGCUAGUUGGGGAGGUAACGGCUUCCCAAGGCGACGAUCGGUAGCUGGUCUCAGAGGAUGAUCAGCCAGACUGGGACUGAGAGACGGCCCAGACUCCUACGGGAGGCAGCAGUUAGGAAUUUUGGGCAAUGGGCGCAAGCCUGACCCAGCAACGCCGCGUGGGUGACGAAGGCCUUCGGGUUGUAAAGCCCUUUUCUGGGGGAAGAUUGUGACGGUACUCCAGGAAGAAGCACCGGCUAACUACGUGCCAGCAGCCGCGGUAAUACGUAGGGUGCGAGCGUUGCCCGGAUUUAUUGGGCGUAAAGGGCGCGCAGGCGGCUCUGUGCGUCGGUUGUGAAAGCUCCCGGCUCAACUGGGAGGGGACGACCGAAACGGCAGGGCUGGAGCAAGGUAGGGGAGAGUGGAAUUCCCGGUGUAGUGGUGGAAUGCGUAGAUAUCGGGAGGAACACCAGUGGCGAAGGCGGCUCUCUGGACCUUUGCUGACGCUGAGGCGCGAAAGCGUGGGGAGCGAUCCGGAUUAGAUACCCGGGUAGUCCACGCCGUAAACGAUGCGGACUAGGUGUCGGGGGUAUCGACCCCCUCGGCGCCGGAGCUAACGCAUUAAGUCCGCCGCCUGGGGACUACGGCCGCAAGGCUAAAACUCAAAGGAAUUGACGGAAUCGA